RNAcentral lists this small nucleolar RNA (68 nucleotides) under Dendronephthya gigantea. Its description in RNAcentral is "small nucleolar RNA SNORD18". It matches the Rfam family "Small nucleolar RNA SNORD18". Rfam says of the family: U18 is a member of the C/D class of snoRNA which contain the C (UGAUGA) and D (CUGA) box motifs. It is encoded in introns of ribosomal protein L1 in Xenopus and human, and in introns of elongation factor 1 beta in yeast. Lineage: Eukaryota; Metazoa; Cnidaria; Anthozoa; Malacalcyonacea; Nephtheidae. The record is from RNAcentral.
CUGCGAUGAUGAUUUGCUUUCGGUCCGUGUUUCUGAUGUAAAUGUGACGAUUUGAAAGCUCUGAGCAG